UUUUAUGAUGAACAAUUUUUUUGCUUCGGCAAGUUGGAAUUACCGACUGAGAUCUUCUUUGAAGAAAACAACUGGCUGUUUCUGAUC
This 87-nucleotide small nucleolar RNA is filed under the name Phaeoacremonium minimum UCRPA7. RNAcentral describes it as "A. fumigatus snoRNA Afu_300". It matches the Rfam family "A. fumigatus snoRNA Afu_300". The record is from Rfam by way of RNAcentral. Lineage: Eukaryota; Fungi; Ascomycota; Sordariomycetes; Togniniales; Togniniaceae.